ACAAAACAAAAUGGCGUUAUAAAAUGCGGACUGUUGUCUAAAUGUCGCGUUUUUAAGGUUUUAGGAAGUAUCUAACGUUAAACCCUGACAUACUCUUUUCUUUCUUGGGUAAAGCUGCCAACAAUGAUAAGCCCAGAUAUGGAAGUUAUAAAGGAGGUGCCGGGGUACAGAGUUAUCCUUAAGGCCGUCCUUAAAUCACAAAUACAGCAAUUGAUUGAACAGCUAGCAUUGGCCACAAAUGAAGAGUCCAUCAUUCUGACAGCCAGUGUGGCUGACGGCACCCUGAGUCACCUUGGCUCUGACUCAGCGAAAGGUUUCCUCCAGGACCAUGAAGAUGUCAAGUCACAAUUCCUGGGAUACUGCCUUAAAACACACCAUAGAAAGAAGCAAGAGGAAGAAAGAAGAAUAGCAGAAGAGGCCCAGGUACGCCUGCAACAACAACAACAGCAGGUCACACCCUCAAAGUUUAGCCCUGGGGACCCUAGGGGUAGUUUCCGGGCAAGGUCCCCAAGAUUUAUGGCCCCAAGACAGCAAGGAGCCCUCCACCCAGUGACUUUGACCCGGGCUGGUCCCGGGGUAAGGCAUGAGCCAUACAGCAUUCAGUCGCCUAGGAGGCAGAUGGCUUCUUCAAAUUCAGGGCCAGGGGCUUCCCAAGCUAAGAAAGUGAAAACUGAGCCAGAAGAUACAGAAAGUGCUGGAGAGGACAGUUUUCAUAAUGUGGCAAAUGAGGAUGAAAACUCCAAGUCAAGUGUGGGUCAGAAUGAUGGAAAUCAGGAGGGACUAGGCCUUGGUGCUGAGUUCUCUAACUUUAUGUCUGGUGACAAUACUGAACAUGGCAAUAAUUCUCAAGGUGACUUUGGUGCUGUUGAUCCAAAUGUGAAAGUAAAACUUGAGCAAACAACUGAUGCUGAUAUGGAUGAGUUAGAAAUCACUGGUGUUGAACCAGGUCAUGUUAUGGCCCCUCCCCCAGACAGCUGGGACCCUAAUGUGUCCAUGACAGCAGACCCAACAGGUGCUUCAGGUUCCCAGGAAGACAUGGCAUCACAGCAAGGAUACACUCGGACCUUUUCAUGUGAAGAAUGUGGGAGAACAUUUGUAACAAAGUUUUCCCUCCUCCGCCAUCUAAGGCUCCACUCAGCAGAACCCACACCAUACAUGUGCAGCACUUGUGGUAAAAAGUUCCAGCGUACAGAUCACAUGCGCAGACAUGAGCUCUAUGUUCAUACUGAAGCUCUUCCAAAAAUUAGGGAGGAGAAAACGGAGGAGUGUUUAUGUGCCCAGUGCGGAAAGUCGUGCAGAUCCAAGCAAGCUUUGCGGGAUCAUCAAAAAUGCACACAUCAAAAAAAUCAUGUGUGUGAAUUAUGUGGACAUAGAUUUGGGAAACGAACUGACUUGGCUCGACACACCAAAUCUCAUUUAGGGGAAAAGGAGCAAUGUCCACAAUGUGGCGAGCAGUUCAGGAGUUUGCAAAAUCAUUUGAAAAAUUGUAAUCCUAAUAAUGUAAAUAUCAUUAAAGAAUUUUCUUGUGACCUUUGUGGGAAAUUAUUUAGUUGUAAGCGAUACCUAUCUCAACACAAGAUUUCAUCACAUAUGCAUAGAAAGUAUAGAUGCCAGUUCUGUCCAGAAGAGUUCAAACACCGGUCCUCAAGAUUAAAGCACAUAGUUAAGCUUCAUCCCAAACCCUCAUGAGAACUUAUGAAACAUUUGUGUUGUAUGAUAUUUAGUGAACAUGAGGUAGUGACAUAAUGAUUGCAACUGUUUUUUUCUGACUAAAUCAGUGAAAUUUGCUUUCAAAUCAAGGGAUGUGCCAGAAGAUUUGUGAACACCUCUGUAAGGCCAAACAAAAUAAUAUGUAUGGUUCUGGAGACCCAACUGACCCUAAAUUUGAAGCCCUGACCAUACUCUUUUUUUUCUGUGAUUCUGGGGAAAUAUAUUGUCAGAAUAUACAAGUUUCAUCCACCUUCAGGCAUCAGCUGUCAAAAGAUGCGUCUGGGGAUAAUCCUUACUAGGAUUUUAUUGCAUUUUUAAAAAAAAAUAAUUGGAGAUAUAUUGAAGCAGUUUCAAACUUAGGAGGUCAAGGUUGUUCUGAAGUUACACCGUAGCGUUACAUUCAAUUCUUUUAAAUAAUACUCUAGAGUUUAGUAGUAUUAACCUUGUGUGUAGGAAAUGAAUAGUAUUUAUCAUCUUGUUCUAACUAGUAACUGUGUCUAUCAAUAGCAGCAGUUGAACUCAUUGACCUCAGUAACUCGGCUCUUUAUGUAAAUUAACAGGUACCUUCCAGUGAUUUUUCUUGGUAAAAUUUACUGCCUUCUAAAGACUGUUCCCCCUUGCGAAAAAAUGUCCAUUUUUCCCCAAAAUUUGUAAAUUUUCCCAUUUCAGUGAACACAGUUUACUUGAAUGAAUAAGUUUCUUGAAAAAUAAACAAGAUCUUUGCAAUGCCACUUUUAAUUUAGUAUAAUUUGUGCAUUAAAAAUACUCAAAACAUGUUUAUUUUCUAUAAUAUUACAUAUCUUAACAAGAUGGAAGGCACAGGCAGUAAAAAAAAAAAUUCAAAAAAAUAAUCACUGGCAGUUUUCGCGAACUACAAUGGCUGUGGAAAACAACAAUGCUAAAGUAUCAAUAUCAAAAUUGAUAUUUUAUUUAUUUCGUUUAUAAUUAGAGGAUUUCAAAUGAGUGUUUAUUUUGUAUGGAAUUUAUUAAACGAGUUCAUUUUAAAAUGAUAAAAGCUAGGCUCUUUUUUAUUUAGGGGUGGUGGUGGGGUUGGCUCUGGUUGGAAAUUAUGCAAAAACCACUCAUUGUGCAACUUUGUUACAUUGUAGGUUUAAUAGCAUGCUACAGAAGGUACAAAAAAGCAGUGUUUAGUAUUCUAUACAUAUAGUCAGAAGUGGUAGAAAAUACUUUAAUAUGAAUAAGAAAAAGGGCAUGCAACUUAAAAAAAAGAAGACAAAACAGACCUACCUACCUACCCUUCUUAUUAUGCCCCCUUUUGAAAAAAGUGGGGUAUAUUGUUUUGCACAUGUCGGUCGGUCGGUCGGUCGGUCGGUCGGUCUGUCGGUCGGUCGGUCGGAAUACCAAAUGGUUUCCGAUCAAUAACUUGAGAACGCUUUGACCGAGGGACCUCAUACUUGGUAUGUGUAUUGGUCAUCACCAGCAGAUGAACCCUAUUGAUUUUGAGGUCAGUGGGUCAAAGGUCAAGGUCAGUGUGACCUUUACAUGAAAAACGGUUUCCGAUCAAUAACUUGAGAACGCUUUGACCCAGGAACCUCAUACUUGGUAGGUGUAUUGGUCAUGACCAGCAGAUGAACCCUAUUGAUUUUGAGGUCAGUGGGUCAAAGGUCAAGGUCAGUGUGACCUUAACAUGAAAAACGGUUUCCGAUCAAUAACUUGAGAACGCUUUGACCCAGGGACCUCAUACUAGGUAGGCUUAUUGGUCAUGACCAGCAGAUGAACCCUAUUGAUUUUGAGGUCAGUGGGUCAAAGGUCAAGGUCAGUGUGACCUUUACAUGAAAAACGGUUUCCGAUCAAUAACUUGAGAACGCUUUGACCCAGGGACCUCAUACUUGGUAGGUGUAUUGGUCAUCACCAGCAGAUGAACCCUAUUGAUUUUGAGGUCAGUGGGUCAAAGGUCAAGGUCAGUGUGACCUUUACAUGAAAAACGGUUUCCGAUCAAUAACUUGAGAACGCUUUGACCCAGGGACCUCAUACUUGGUAGGUGUAUUGGUCAUGACCAGCAGAUGAACCCUAUUGAUUUUGAGGUCAGUGGGUCAAAGGUCAAGGUCAGUGUGACCUUAACAUGAAAAACGGUUUCCGAUCAAUAACUUGAGAACGCUUUGACCCAGGGACCUCAUACUAGGUAGGCUUAUUGGUCAUGACCAGCAGAUGAACCCUAUUGAUUUUGAGGUCAGUGGGUCAAAGGUCAAGGUCAGUGUGACCUUUACAUGAAAAACGGUUUCCGAUCAAUAACUUGAGAACGCUUUGACCCAGGGACCUCAUACUUGGUAGGUGUAUUGGUCAUGACCAGCAGAUGAACCCUAUUGAUUUUGAGGUCAGUGGGUCAAAGGUCAAGGUCAGUGUGACCUUAACAUGAAAAACGGUUUCCGAUCAAUAACUUGAGAACGCUUUGACCCAGGGACCUCAUACUAGGUAGGCUUAUUGGUCAUGACCAGCAGAUGAACCCUAUUGAUUUUGAGGUCAGUGGGUCAAAGGUCAAGGUCAGUGUGACUGUAAGCUGAAAAAAGGUUUUCUGAUUGUCCAUAUUUUUUUAAUGCAUGCACAGAUGAUUGGGAUUGAUGUAUAAAUGUUUGUAUAGAAAUGAUUUUCUUUUAUGUUACUAUUUUAGUUGGGCAUUUAUUUGCCUUCUUAAGUUAUCAUAAGUAGAUGACCUGCCUCAUAUGCAUCCAAUGACAAAUCAGCUGUCAUUUCAGUCCAUGCAUAUUUCAUUCAAUUGUCCAAAUAUUUCUGGCAACUUGGCGCUCAGGGGGCAUAAUGUUUGACAAACAUCUCUUGUUUUUUAAGACAUGUCACUGAAAACAUAUUAUUUUAUUUGGCCUAAUUGUCUCUACA
This is an RNA transcript of Mya arenaria, 4563 nucleotides long. It is a transcript of the gene named zinc finger protein with KRAB and SCAN domains 7-like, with no coding region annotated. The record is from RefSeq and is a predicted model, not a curated record. NCBI's taxonomy places the organism in Eukaryota, Metazoa, Mollusca, Bivalvia, Myida, Myidae. The transcript is spliced from 6 exons.